RNAcentral lists this ribosomal RNA (301 nucleotides) under uncultured bacterium. RNAcentral describes it as "partial 16S ribosomal RNA". It matches the Rfam family "Bacterial small subunit ribosomal RNA", at positions 509 to 809 of the family's 1533-position model. The record is from RNAcentral.
CAGUCGCCACGGUAAAACGGAGGGGGCUAGCGUUGUUCGGAAUUACUGGGCGUAAAGCGCACGUAGGCGGCCGUUUAAGUUAGAGGUGAAAGCCCGGGGCUCAACCCCGGAAUUGCCUUUGAUACUGGACGGCUUGAAUCCGGGAGAGGUGAGUGGAAUUCCGAGUGUAGAGGUGAAAUUCGUAGAUAUUCGGAAGAACACCAGUGGCGAAGGCGGCUCACUGGACCGGCAUUGACGCUGAGGUGCGAAAGCGUGGGGAGCAAACAGGAUUAGAUACCCGGGUAGUCCCUGUCUCUUAUAA